Non-coding RNA from Acinonyx jubatus (cheetah), 2014 nucleotides. Lineage: Eukaryota; Metazoa; Chordata; Mammalia; Carnivora; Felidae. The record is from the annotation of a RefSeq genome assembly.
AGGGGAAACCUGAUCAGUGACAGCACAGCAGGACCUUUCUCUUUCCCAAGAGGGUCAUUCUCAGGUUAUGGAAACACAGGCAUCAGAGAAGCCAGAGGUGGGAAAGGAGAGGUUCACCCAGAGACCAGCAGGGGGCACUGUGACACUGUGUCUGGGGCUUUCUGCAGGACAGGGGCAUCCAGCUGGGCAGUCCUCCACUGACAGAAAGCAUGGACUGGGCGCCUUGCGUCCAGUGGGGCCAAGGCAGGUGUGUCCGGUCAGGACCUGGAGGAGUCCCUGGACCUGGGGCCGUGUGUGGUCCCCACAGCUGCUGCCUCCAGGCCCACCCAGGGGAACCCAGAGCAUCAGGAAGUCUCCGUGUCCAAGGGUCACAGACCCUGUGUGUACACAUGGAGAAGAGGCAGGGGUGGGUCCCAUUUGCAUGAGCAGCCCCUCCUCUGUGACCCUGUGGACAGGGGAUAAGACAGGCCAGGGGCAGUCCAGCCCCAGUUCUGUGGCCUAAGAAGGGCGUCUCUGUGUGUCACCAUGGCCUGGAUCACCAUCCUCCUCGUGCUCCUCUGUCACUGCACAGGUUCCCUGUCCCAGCCUGUUGUGACUCAGCCAGCCUCCCUCUCUGCAUCUCUGGGAACCACAGCCAGACUCACCUGCACCCUGAGCAGGGACAUCAAUGUUGGAAGCUAUAACAUAUACUGGUACCAACAGAAGCCAGGGAGCCCUCCCCGGUAUCUCCUGUACUAGUACUCAGACUCAGAUAAGCACCAGGGCCCUGGCAUCCCCAGCCGCUUCUCUGGGUCCAAAGAUGCCUCGGCCAAUGCAGGGCUUCUGCUCAUCUCUGGGCUGCAGCCUGAGGACGAGGCUGACUAUUACUGUGCAAUCGGGCACAGUAGUGCUGGUCACAAUGACACGAACUCAUGGGGAGGUGGGACAAAUACCUCACCCUGCUCAGGUCCCUGCACUCUGACUCUCUUCCAGUUGAAAAUAACUUGAAUGCACACUGACUGUCUUUGGAAGUAGCUUCUAGGUCACAAUACACUUCCUCCUCCCAGCAUCCUAUUCAACCUCUUUCUACUGUCAGGAAAACAAACAAGCCAACAAACAAACAGGCAACAAAGAAACCCACGACAAUGCUGACAUUUUGUCUGGUGGUUAAAGUGUAAAACUCAGAGAGUGUUGAGCUGGCCCUUUUUCUCUUUACAAAGGCACAUCCACUGUCUUAGUUUUCUGGUCAGAGUCUGGACCAUCACAGCAGGUGGACAGUGCUCCAGAAUGUGCUCUGUUCCUCCAGGGGUUGGGGCAGAGGCUCCCUUCCCUCCAGGUUCCUGUGCUCAGAGCUGGCUGAACAGCAUGUGUUCCAGGUAGGAUGUACUAAAUAAGAUUGGUGCCGAGGGAGGACUCAGAACAGAAGAACUAGCAGGCACAGAGCUUGCUGGGCAACCAGGCUAGCUACUUGCCCCUGAAAUUGUGAUGUCAGGGGACAGUGAUUAGCCAGGGGAGAAAUUUCAGGUGUCAGCAAAACUCUCAGGAGUGCUUGUGAGGUAAGUUGCAGGGGCUCCAUCAUUGCUACAAAAUGCUGGGUCUGCUCUUGGGAAGGUGGGAAGUAGAUCCUGCAGAUGUGAAUAUACCAAAGCUGACACCAUCAGGGACUUUGGGUACCCCUGUGGCUGGUUUCCUGGACCCCCAGGCCCUGACUCUGUCCUCCUCUCUUCUCCUGUGACAUCAGGGCUCAUCAGUGAUCCAAGCAGCAGGGAGGCUGUGGGGCGACAGGGCAGGAGGUCCCCUAUCUGUGCACAAAGAAGUCCAGUCCUAUGUCUUUCCAGAAAGAAGUUCUUCCAUUUGUGACAAUAUGGACGAACCUGCCAGAUAUUACCCUAGGAGGAAUAAGCCCUACAGAGAAAGACAAAUGCUAUAUGAUCUCAUUUAUAUGUGGAAUUUACAAGAAAAAUAAUUUUAAAAAUUACUGUCAAGUUUUACUGAUGACGAUGAGUUAGAAUAGGGUACCACAUACCAGGACAAG